AUUGAACGCUGGCGGCAGGCCUAACACAUGCAAGUCGAACGGCAGCACAGAAGAGCUUGCUCUUUGGGUGGCGACUGGCGGACGGGUGAGUAAUGUCUGGGAAACUGCCGGGUGGAGGGGGCUAACUACUGGAAAAGGUAGCUAAUACCGCAUAACGUCGCAAGACCAAAGUGGGGGACCUUCGGGCCUCACACCAUCGGAUGUGCCCAGAUGGGAUUAGCAAGUAGGUGGGGUAAUGGCUCACCUAGGCGACGAUCCCUAGCUGGUCUGAGAGGACGACCAGCCACACUGGAACUGAGACACGGUCCAGACUCCUACGGGAGGCAGCAGUGGGGAAUAUUGCACAAUGGGCGCAAGCCUGAUGCAGCCAUGCCGCGUGUAUGAAGAAGGCCUUCGGGUUGUAAAGUACUUUCAGCGGGGAGGAAGGCGGUGAGGUUAAUAACCUCGCCGAUUGACGUUACCCGAAGAAGAAGCACCGGCUAACUCCGUGCCAGCAGCCGCCGUAA
This 506-nucleotide ribosomal RNA is filed under the name uncultured bacterium. RNAcentral's name for it is "partial 16S ribosomal RNA". It matches the Rfam family "Bacterial small subunit ribosomal RNA", at positions 29 to 523 of the family's 1533-position model. The record is from RNAcentral.